UACGUAGGGGGCUAGCGUUGUCCGGAAUCAUUGGGCGUAAAGAGCGUGUAGGCGGUCCGGUAAGUCCGUUGUGAAAGUCAGGGGCUCAACCCUCGAAUGCCGGUGGAUACUGUCGAACUAGAGUGCGGAAGAGGCGAGUGGAAUUCCUGGUGUAGCGGUGAAAUGCGCAGAUAUCAGGAGGAACACCAAUUGCGAAGGCAGCUCGCUGGGACGUAACUGACGCUGAGACGCGAAAGCGUGGGGAGCAAACAGG
RNAcentral lists this ribosomal RNA (253 nucleotides) under uncultured bacterium. Its description in RNAcentral is "partial 16S ribosomal RNA". It matches the Rfam family "Bacterial small subunit ribosomal RNA", at positions 524 to 776 of the family's 1533-position model. The record is from RNAcentral.